AUUAUAUCCACAGCAACACUGUUUCUCUAUUUACUAUAUAUGCAACUCUGUGGCGGUGGCGGUAUCUCACUGUAAAUAGAUAUAGGGCUACGUUCUUCGCUGUCCAUAGUCAAGAUCAACUAGUCCACCCUACAGAUCAGCAAAAUUGGCAGGUUUAAGAAGGUGCGCAGUGUUCUUA
Long non-coding RNA from Photinus pyralis (common eastern firefly), 178 nucleotides. RefSeq lists it as uncharacterized. The record is from RefSeq and is a predicted model, not a curated record. The transcript has 2 exons. NCBI's taxonomy places the organism in Eukaryota, Metazoa, Arthropoda, Insecta, Coleoptera, Lampyridae.